This is a non-coding RNA of Arachis ipaensis, 301 nucleotides long. NCBI's taxonomy places the organism in Eukaryota, Viridiplantae, Streptophyta, Magnoliopsida, Fabales, Fabaceae. The record is from RefSeq and is a predicted model, not a curated record.
AGCAAAGCAACUGCUGAUGUUGACAAAGGAGUCCAUGAUGAGACUGGUUUCUUUUAGGUGGUUCUGUUUUCUGAAAAUAUGGGCUUGGAUAAAGAAACUAUUGGGAGAAUUAUUUUUCGCUACCAGCAUUGAUAAAACUCUUUAGAGGAAGAUUGAAUUCCUUUCUAGGGUUAGUGUUUUUUAAGCUUAUUUUCCUGGGAUAAUUAGAAAAUAUCUGGAAUUACUUGUAACCAACACUGAUACAACUAUAUUGUAUCCGGAAAUUUUUGGUUCACUAAGUAUAUAAAUGUUUAUUUUUUUA